This 253-nucleotide ribosomal RNA is filed under the name uncultured bacterium. Its description in RNAcentral is "partial 16S ribosomal RNA". It matches the Rfam family "Bacterial small subunit ribosomal RNA", at positions 524 to 776 of the family's 1533-position model. The record is from RNAcentral.
UACGGAGGGUGCAAGCGUUAUCCGGAUUCACUGGGUUUAAAGGGUGCGUAGGAGGGCAGGGAAGUCAGUGGUGAAAUCUCCGGGCUUAACUCGGAAACUGCCGUUGAUACUCUCUGUCUUGAAUCCCGUGGAGGUGAGCGGAAUAUGUCAUGUAGCGGUGAAAUGCUUAGAUAUGACAUAGAACACCAAUUGCGAAGGCAGCUCGCUACACGAAGAUUGACUCUGAGGCACGAAAGCGUGAGGAUCAAACAGG